This 54-nucleotide transfer RNA is filed under the name Contracaecum rudolphii B Bullini et al., 1986. RNAcentral describes it as "tRNA-Ser". Lineage: Eukaryota; Metazoa; Nematoda; Chromadorea; Rhabditida; Anisakidae. The record is from RNAcentral. RNAcentral also lists the same sequence under 3 other names.
GAACUAUAUUUUUGUGUUUUGAAAACACAAUAUGGAAUUUUUGUCCUUAGUUUU